GUGGUCAACCUACCCUCGAGUGGGGGAUAACUAGCCGAAAGGCUAGCUAAUACCGCAUAAUACCGUAGCCGGCAUCGGCAUCGGUUGAAAGCAGCAAUGCUCUCGGAGACGGGACCGCGUCCGAUUAGUUAGUUGGUGGGGUAACGGCCUACCAAGACUCCGAUCGGUAGCUGGUUUGAGAGAACGACCAGCCACACUGGGACUGAGAACGGCCCAGACUCCUACGGGAGGCAGCAGUGAGGAAUUUUCCGCAAUGGGCGAAAGCCUGACGGAGCGACGCCGCGUGUGGGAAGAAGGCCUUCGGGUCGUAAACCACUGUCGAGGGGGAAGAUAUUGACGGUACCCCUGGAGGAAGCCCCGGCUAACUACGUGCCAGCAGCCGCGGUAAGACGUAGGGGGCAAGCGUUAUUCGGAAUUAUUGGGCGUAAAGCGCUCGUAGGCGGGACGGGAAGUCCGUGAAGAAAGACCUGGGCUCAACUCAGGGACCGGCACGGAUACUCUCGUUCUUGAGGCAAUCAGAGGGUGAUGGAAUU
This 533-nucleotide ribosomal RNA is filed under the name uncultured bacterium. RNAcentral describes it as "bacterial SSU rRNA". It matches the Rfam family "Bacterial small subunit ribosomal RNA", at positions 117 to 668 of the family's 1533-position model. The record is from RNAcentral.